GCUCUCUUUUCAGACUCAGCCUGCCUGCACCCAGGUGAAAUAAACAGCCUUGUUGCUCACACAAAGCCUGUUUGGUGGUCUCUUCACACGGACACGAGUGAAAUUUGGUGCCGUGACUCGAAUCGGGGGACCUCCCUUAGGAGAUCAAUCCCCUGUCCUCCUGCUCUUUGCUCCGUGAGAAAGAUCCACCUACGACCUCAGGUCCUCAGACCGACCAGCCCAAGAAACAUCUCACCAAUUUCAAAUCCAGGAAACCAAAUCAUGGUAUUCUGAAGACCAGAGAUGAUAAUCUCCCUCAUUUGGCUUCCCACUGGGUCCGAUCUGUUAUUCACUACAAAUGCCCAGCUGCUAAGACUACACAAGCACACUCCCUGUAGGCCCAGGAACUAUUGCAGAAGAAAUGGGUGUAUGAGAUUUUAAGGGCUGGUUUUUGAGGGAUAUAAUUAAGUCAAGGUCACAACCUCCAAAUGAAGUUUGGGUACAAAGAUGCCUAAACAGCUGGUAAAACAAUGGCCUUUGCUUCUUGAGCUAUUAUGGGGCACCUUUGCAUCCACCCCAGCUAUUAAGAAUUUCCUUCUCCUGGGCCAGGCACGGUGGCUCAUGCCUGUAAUCCUAGCACUUUGGAAGGCUGAGGCAGGUGGAUCACGAGGUCAGGAGAUCGAGACCAUCCUGGCUAACACGGUGAAACCCCGUCUCUACUAAACAUACAAAAAAUUAGCCGGGCAUGGUGGUGCACACCUGUAGUCCCAGCUACACUGGAGGCUGAGGCAGAAUUGCUUGAACCUGGGAGGUGGAGGUUGCAGUGAGCCGAGAUGGCACCACUGCACUCCAGCCUGGGCAACAGACUGAGACUCCAUAUUAAAAAAAAAAAAAAG
This 875-nucleotide long non-coding RNA is filed under the name Homo sapiens (human). RNAcentral describes it as "novel transcript". Lineage: Eukaryota; Metazoa; Chordata; Mammalia; Primates; Hominidae. The record is from RNAcentral.